GACGAACGCUGGCGGCGUGCUUAACACAUGCAAGUCGAACGGAAAGGCCCUGCUUUUGUGGGGUGCUCCAGUGGCGAACGGGUGAGUAACACGUGAGUAACCUGCCCUUGACUUUGGGAUAACUUCAGGAAACUGGGGCUAAUACCGGAUAGGAGCUCCUGCUGCAUGGUGGGGGUUGGAAAGUUUCGGCGGUUGGGGAUGGACUCGCGGCUUAUCAGCUUGUUGGUGGGGUAGUGGCUUACCAAGGCUUUGACGGGUAGCCGGCCUGAGAGGGUGACCGGCCACAUUGGGACUGAGAUACGGCCCAGACUCCUACGGGAGGCAGCAGUGGGGAAUAUUGCACAAUGGGCGGAAGCCUGAUGCAGCAACGCCGCGUGCGGGAUGACGGCCUUCGGGUUGUAAACCGCUUUCGCCUGUGACGAAGCGUGAGUGACGGUAAUGGGUAAAGAAGCACCGGCUAACUACGUGCCAGCAGCCGCGGUGAUACGUAGGGUGCGAGCGUUGUCCGGAUUUAUUGGGCGUAAAGGGCUCGUAGGUGGUUGAUCGCGUCGGAAGUGUAAUCUUGGGGCUUAACCCUGAGCGUGCUUUCGAUACGGGUUGACUUGAGGAAGGUAGGGGAGAAUGGAAUUCCUGGUGGAGCGGUGGAAUGCGCAGAUAUCGGGAGGAACACCAGUGGCGAAGGCGGUUCUCUGGGCCCUUCCUGACGCUGAGGAGCGAAAGCGUGGGGAGCGAACAGGCUUAGAUACCCUGGUAGUCCACGCUGUAAACGGUGGGUACUAGGUGUGGGGUCCAUUCCACGGGUUCCGUGCCGUAGCUAACGCUUUAAGUACCCCGCCUGGGGAGUACGGCCGCAAGGCUAAAACUCAAAGGAAUUGACGGGGCCCCGCACAAGCGGCGGAGCAUGCGGAUUAAUUCGAUGCAACGCGUAGAACCUUACCUGGGUUUGACAUGGAUCGGGAGCGCUCAGAGAUGGGUGUGCCUCUUUUGGGGUCGGUUCACAGGUGGUGCAUGGCUGUCGUCAGCUCGUGUCGUGAGAUGUUGGGUUAAGUCCCGCAACGAGCGCAACCCUUGUUCACUGUUGCCAGCACGUUAUGGUGGGGACUCAGUGGAGACCGCCGGGGUCAACUCGGAGGAAGGUGGGGAUGACGUCAAGUCAUCAUGCCCCUUAUGUCCAGGGCUUCACGCAUGCUACAAUGGCUGGUACAGAGAGUGGCGAGCCUGUGAGGGUGAGCGAAUCUCGGAAAGCCGGUCUCAGUUCGGAUUGGGGUCUGCAACUCGACCUCAUGAAGUCGGAGUCGCUAGUAAUCGCAGAUCAGCAACGCUGCGGUGAAUACGUUCCCGGG
This 1343-nucleotide ribosomal RNA is filed under the name uncultured bacterium. RNAcentral describes it as "16S ribosomal RNA". It matches the Rfam family "Bacterial small subunit ribosomal RNA", at positions 28 to 1378 of the family's 1533-position model. The record is from RNAcentral.